GCUAUUUAUGAAGAAAAUGAAAUAAUCAUAUAUACCACAUAUGCUGUCAUGCCCUUGGCUUCCCUACAUUCCCAAAAAUGUCCCUCCCUAGGCCUGUCUUCAGCUCAUCAAAAAGUUUCUUCCUAAGCCAAGUGGGCCUCCUGCCGAAACUGCUAGUCUUUACAUAGGGCCUUCUUCCUGCCUGAAUUCUCAAACAUCAAGAAGCUCUCCUGGGAACGCUUUGACCUUAUGCCUGUUCCCCUGGGAUUUUACCCUGCUCUUCUCUUUAAU
Molecule: long non-coding RNA, 270 nt
Organism: Neopelma chrysocephalum (saffron-crested tyrant-manakin)
Lineage: Eukaryota; Metazoa; Chordata; Aves; Passeriformes; Pipridae
Exons: 3
Source: RefSeq, a predicted model, not a curated record